RNAcentral lists this ribosomal RNA (504 nucleotides) under uncultured bacterium. RNAcentral's name for it is "bacterial SSU rRNA". It matches the Rfam family "Bacterial small subunit ribosomal RNA", at positions 882 to 1390 of the family's 1533-position model. The record is from RNAcentral.
ACGGCCGCAAGGUUGAAACUCAAAGGAAUUGACGGGGACCCGCACAAGCGGUGGAUGAUGUGGUUUAAUUCGAUGCAACGCGAAAAACCUUACCUACCCUUGACAUGUCAAGAAUUUUGCAGAGAUGUGAAAGUGCUCGAAAGAGAGCUUGAACACAGGUGCUGCAUGGCCGUCGUCAGCUCGUGUCGUGAGAUGUUGGGUUAAGUCCCGCAACGAGCGCAACCCUUGUCAUUAGUUGCUACGAAAGGGCACUCUAAUGAGACUGCCGGUGACAAACCGGAGGAAGGUGGGGAUGACGUCAGGUCCUCAUGGCCCUUAUGGGUAGGGCUACACACGUCAUACAAUGGCCGGUACAGAGGGUUGCCAACCCGCGAGGGGGAGCUAAUCCCAGAAAACCGGUCGUAGUCCGGAUCGUAGUCUGCAACUCGACUGCGUGAAGUCGGAAUCGCUAGUAAUCGCGGAUCAGCUUGCCGCGGUGAAUACGUUCCCGGGUCUUGUACACAC